RNAcentral lists this ribosomal RNA (497 nucleotides) under uncultured bacterium. RNAcentral's name for it is "partial 16S ribosomal RNA". It matches the Rfam family "Bacterial small subunit ribosomal RNA", at positions 28 to 507 of the family's 1533-position model. The record is from RNAcentral.
GAUGAACGCUGGCGGCGUGCCUAAUACAUGCAAGUCGAGCGAACAGACGAGGAGCUUGCUCCUCUGACGUUAGCGGCGGACGGGUGAGUAACACGUGGAUAACCUACCUAUAAGACUGGGAUAACUUCGGGAAACCGGAGCUAAUACCGGAUAAUAUAUUGAACCGCAUGGUUCAAUAGUGAAAGACGGUUUUGCUGUCACUUAUAGAUGGAUCCGCGCCGCAUUAGCUAGUUGGUAAGGUAACGGCUUACCAAGGCGACGAUGCGUAGCCGACCUGAGAGGGUGAUCGGCCAUACUGGAACUGAGACACGGUCCAGACUCCUACGGGAGGCAGCAGUAGGGAAUCUUCCGCAAUGGGCGAAAGCCUGACGGAGCAACGCCGCGUGAGUGAUGAAGGUCUUCGGAUCGUAAAACUCUGUUAUUAGGGAAGAACAAAUGUGUAAGUAACUAUGCACGUCUUGACAGUACCUAAUCAGAAAGCCACGGCUAACUACGUG